AUUCCAUGAUGCGGACAUUCUAGGAUGUAGUCUUGGAAGCGCUCCCAUGCUUCUAGAACGGAUUCAUCUAGUUGUUGCUGAAAACUUAUAAUUUCCCCACGGAGAGC
Molecule: small nucleolar RNA, 107 nt
Organism: Sorghum bicolor (sorghum)
Lineage: Eukaryota; Viridiplantae; Streptophyta; Magnoliopsida; Poales; Poaceae
Rfam family: Plant small nucleolar RNA R71
About the family: R71 is a member of the C/D box family of snoRNAs containing the C (UGAUGA) and D (CUGA) box motifs. Multiple nearly identical copies of this snoRNA have been identified in Arabidopsis, and it is thought to function as a 2'-O-ribose methylation guide for 18S ribosomal RNA.
Source: Rfam